Molecule: long non-coding RNA, 6462 nt
Organism: Vespa velutina
Lineage: Eukaryota; Metazoa; Arthropoda; Insecta; Hymenoptera; Vespidae
Exons: 2
Source: RefSeq, a predicted model, not a curated record
UCUUCAAGCAAUAACUAUAAUAAGAAACAACAAAAUUUUAUAAUCUCAGUAAAUAAUAUUUAUCAUAGAAUACAAGAAAAAAUAGAAACGUAAAAUAUUUACUGUUUUAUAAUCAGUCUUAAUUUAGCCACAGAAGUUUAUUAUAGCUUAAGUCAAAUCUAGCUUAAUAUUAUUUACUAAAUCGAGUAAUAUCUGCAGCAGUUUUAUAAUGAUUCCUUAUCGACAUUACAUAACCAAGCAUCAAAUAAAGAUAUGAAAUAUAACAAAAAUAUAAAUUUGAGUAUUAAUAACAUAAUAAAAUAAUAUUAAUGUUAACAUGUUAAAUUUAACAAUAGUAUUUUAAAAGCAAAAAGCUCAUUAACAAUGAAAUUAUUAAUCAAAUAAAGUUAACAAGAAUAAUAUUUUGAAUUAUUUUACUUUUAUGAAAAAUGGCUUAAAUGCGAUACUUUGGCAAUUAUUUCCAUGGUAAUAGACUCUCUAUUUAAGUAUCUAAUGUAUUAGAUUAUUUAAUAAUAUAUAAUAUAUGAUAUAACGUAUAUUACAUAUUAUUUUACACAGAAUGUGCAUCAAAACAUAACACAAAGAUGUCGAUCGUCUUAUUGUUAAUUUUACUUUCUUGUUAUAAGAAAAAUAAUCUAUGCAUAAAGAGUAUUGAUAUAUUAAAUAUUAGUCAUCUUGCAAGCAAGAUUAGCAUUAAAAAUAGUGCACAUUAGAUGAUUAGCAUUACUAUCACAGAUGUCUACCUUACGAACAAUAUUCGGGCAUUCCUUCUGUAUACGAGCCCAAUCUGCAGGAGGCCGUUUUGCAUAAGGGCCUGUGGAACAUAGCAGCAAGAACUCAUAAGUGAGUUCUCUGAUUUCUGGAUCUGAAAUUUUAUUUCAAAUCAUUUGACUAUAACUUAACUUUUCUUUAAAAAAUAUUAAACAUGAAUUAUUUAAACAGUUUUGAACUCUAAUUAAGUACCUUGAUCAGAUGACUGAAGUUCUGUAGCAAGAUGUGAUUUAUAUGUUUCUUCACUUUCAGAAGUAGCUGCACUAUCCAUACUUAAUUCUCGUCCUAACGAAACGGUAUUACUUGGAGUUAAUGGUGUUUGUGACAAAUUAUUAUCAGAUGAAGCAGGUUUUUCGUCAAAGGUAAAAUAUUCUAUUCCACUUCCAAAUUGUUCAGAAUCUCCUAAGAAAUAUUCAUCCAGCACUAAUUUUGCAGUCUAAGAAAAGUAAAAAAUGCAAUAUUAAGUAUACAUAAAAAGAAAUGUAUAAAAUCCAAAUAUUACAAUAAAAAUUCGUACCCUAACAAGAUCCAAAUUUGUUCCUGUAAUCUUAAGGGAUUGAUUAUCGACUGUAACUGUAUAUUUAUAUUCGCCAAUACUGGCGUCGUUGGUGGAGAAGCUAUGAAGGAGCGAACUUCUCAAACGAGAAUUUUGUUGUUGGUGUUGUUGCAAUCGAUUACUUUCUUCAGAUGCACUACUAUUUAAAGAAGAGCUUGAACCUCCUAUACCUCCUUUUUCUCCUCCACCUUGCUCCAACCGUACCGGAGAUGCAUUUCGUUGAAUCGUAUCCUUUAUUAAAUCCUUCGCAUAACUAGUAUAAAUAGGCAUUAUUUAAAGAAAUGUAUUAAAGAUAAUAAUUAUUUGUAAGAAUUUUUAUAACAGUGAAAUAUAUGAACUCACUGUAUCUUGUCCUCGGAAGUACCAGUUAUUUGGACAAGUCGUUCUUUAGCCCCAGGGUUUACUAAAAAAAAAAAAAAUUUUACACAUUAUUAUAUACAUUGUAAUUACUAGAUUCGGAUGUAAGUUUUAUUCUAUUAAUUAAAAACUUCUGUCUUAUACUUAUACAAGAUUGUUAAUUACAAGAUGGUAACAUUUUAAAUGCUACAACAUAUCAUAUAACUCCAAUCAAAAAUAUAAUCAAUUAUUGGUGUUAAAUAUUGCUUUAACAAUUUUUCUCAGAUAUAUUACAAAUACAAUGUCAUUACUGAUUUGUAAUUAAAUUUGUUGAAAUGAAUACAAUGUGGUAUAUUUGGCUAUGAUAUAUAGGUAUUAUAUAACUAGUGUUAUUGUAAAAAUUUUAAAUAUUUCAGAUAGUAAUAUAACAUUUUUAAAUCAUUCUUGUGAUGGUAAUUAUAUUGCUAUGUAUGUAACUUUAUUGACAAAUGAUUAUUUCCAGCUUUUACUAAUAAUAUAUGUAUCUCACAAUAAUUAUAACUCUGAUUAAUCAUUAUUUAAAAAGCUGCAGGCACAAUGCAUGACAGUUAUAUAUUGCAUCAUUGAACAUACAGUGGCACAUGCCAUGAUGAUUUAAAGGAUAAAGAAAUAGUAACAGAUUAAGCUUCUGCAGAACGUGUUCAAAUUUUCUAUAUACCUUAUAACUGUGACCUUCAGAUAACCUUAUGUUUUUGACCUUCAAAUCAAUAUAUCAAUGAUUUGAACAUCUUGAUAUCCAAGUCUUGAACGUUGUAAUGUAAUUAAUACUUGGUAGCAACUCACUUGGUAGCGUGCUUGAAAUUAAUAAUUAUAUUACAGCAAAAUAAUGUAUAUACAUAUAUACCUAAGAUGAUCACAUCAAAGCUAAAAAAUCAUUUUAUGUAACUUUGUAGUAAAUCUAAAAUAAAAUUUAUAUUAUAUAAAUAAUAAAUAAAAACAAUCAAAACUUUGACAUUUUUAGAUUAAAACAUACAUUAUGUAGUUAUGCGGAACGUCUGAUAUUAUCAGAAAUCUAUAUAUCUGUUUCAUAAAACUAUUUGCAAAAUUGCAAUUGUUCUUAGUAAAUGAUGCAUGUAGUAUGCUUGCAAUUAAAGAUAAAUUAGUAAUUAUCAAACUGCUUGUAAGACAUUAGGAUUGAAUUAUUCAUAAUUGCAAUCUAAAUACAUGUGAUUAAACUCACAAAUGUUAGAAUAUUAGGAUAUGGUAAGGAAUUAGGUGUCAUCUGAUUCAUCAAGUAUUAUUCUUAUAAUGCACGAGCACAAUGCUGAUAAGCCAAUCGCAGAUCAUUGCUUUACCUCGCUGGAAGGAGAUGAUCGUCUGGCUCAGUUCUUCGAUCAUGUGAACACGACGCCCUUUUAUUCCCAUCACUGUAUUUUUACGUACAUAGUUUAAAAAUGGAUGGAUAAACAUAAACUGCACGAAAUUAAUUUAAAUUGCAACUACAUUAAGAAUUAAAUUUGAAAAAUUUAACUUAAAAAUUGUAAUAAAAUAAGCAAAAUAAGUAAUAUUUAAACUAAACUAAAAUAGAUACUACUGGUUUAAACUAAAAAUAAAAAAGAAAAUUCCUAAAAAAAUGCCUUUUUUUAAAUAGAGCUAACAUGGUAUCCUCAUAUAAUACGUUUUACUAGCAGCACAGACUCAUAUUACCUUACAAUUGAUAUAUAAUAACUAUGAUAAAUCAUAAUUUUGAUUUUUUGAAUAAAAUUUGUAGUCAGUUGCAUACCAUUUUUUAAUUUUGAUAUAUAAUUAUGAAUAUUAAAAAACCAUGAAUUUUAUUUACCUUUACCAGAAUCACUGUUACGUAUAACAACUUCAUCCUUGCAAUAAUUUUUACCAGGAAUCCGAGUAGGCUUCGCAAAUUUGCCACUAUUUUUUAUUACUUCACCAGGACCCAAAAUAGAUGUAGCAGUAGGUGGAACUACCGUCAAAGGUGAAGCCAAUGGAUUCGCAAGUGUUUCUAGAGUUCCUUCUGUCUGUAAAUAUAAUUUCAGUUUAUAAAUAUGAGAUUAGAAUAUUAUUAAAAAAAAACAAAAAUAAUUCAAUUACAUUAUCAAGAUGCGAUAAUUUAUGAGUAUAAUAUACAUCCAUAGAGUCUGUGUGACGCCAUUGUUUAGCUCGCAAUUCUAUAAGUUCCAGCAAAUGAACCCUAGUCGUCAGAUCUAGUCUCUCGUCUUGACUUCCAUUCCUUAUUGCGACAAAAGCUCUGUCCAGCUGAUCUAAAUAUUACAAACAUUAAAAAUAGAAAUUAUGCAAAGAAAUAAUAGAAACUUAGAUAUGUAGUUCAAUCUUCAAACAACAAAUAUUUAAUACAAAUUACAAAUAUACUAUCUAUUCUAAAAUUAAUUUAACAAUAAUAUUUAAAAAUAAAAAUUUGUUCUUUUCCCUUUUCAAUUUUGUUUACAAGGAAUUAAAAAAAAAAGUAAAAAGUAAAGUGCGAAAAGAAAAAUUAUACCUUUGUAAAUAGCUUCUAACUGAUGUGCAUAAAGUUUGAGAUGAUUACACAUUGUAAUCACAUUCAUUUGCAGCGUUUGGUCAUGGAAGCCAUUAGUUAAUUGCAUCGUAACAUUGUCGAUUAAGGACACUAUGUCCUCCACUAUUAAAAAAAUAUAUAAUUUUUUACAAUAAAUAAUAAAAAUUACAAAAUCUCCAUAUACAUAAUACUUAUCAUAUGAAUGUUUUUGAUAUAAAAAUAAAAUUAUAUUUAUAUAGAGUCUAGAACAAAAAACUAUUGUUUAUAUAGAACUUAGCAUAUAAACUAAAAUAUUAUUAAAUUGGAAUUACAUUUUAAAUAUUAAAUAUAUAUAUAAAAAAGCUUUUGUAUUUUAAUAAAAAUAUAAAAAAUUUUAAGUAUACCUGUCGUGAUCCGUCCAUCGACGGUCGUAUGGCGCUGAUUAAGUUUGAGUGGCCGAGGUUUUUCGAUUUUCUUGAUAGUUCGUGCCCUAUUCAGUUGUGUCGUGGCCAUUGUUUAUUACCUUCAAAUAAUUAACUGUUAAUCUAAAUUGAAUGAUAUAUUCGAAGGUACAUUGAAAAAGUCAAAGUCAACAAAUAAGAAAGACAUCUGUCCUUUAUUAUAUUUUUUUAUUUUUAUUUACUUUGCGAGUGAAUCUAAUAAUAGUCGUAAAAAUUUUAAUAAAAUUUCUAUCAAUUUAAAAAAAAACCGAUUUACAAGCUUUAUGAAAUUGUCAAUUACUUUGUAUUAUGAGAGAAAAGGAAUAAAAUAAAAAGAGAAAUUAUCGAGAGAAGGAAAAAUGAAUUACACGAUCGUUUUUAUGCGAAGGCGGCAUUCGAGAUCUAGUCUUCGUAGUCGACUCUAGACGACGCACUUCUGCGUCGCGCGCGAUUUAAAAAUAACCGUGAAAAAGAGGAACGCAAGAACGCUUUUGGUUUUAGGAAUUAACGAUUACGCAUGGGAGAAAGAAAGAUAUUCGUUAAAUAUGUCAACUUAGAUUAUUUCUCACAUGCUCCCGAUAACUAUGAUAUAACAUCGAUAAAAUGUACUGUUUUAUGAAGAUAGGGUAAAUUUAAGAAUGAACAAAAUGUGUCAAGUUAGGAGAAAGAACUUCAGCUAUGUGUCAAAUUGAAAGAGAAGAAUAACAUUUGACGUUUGAAGAGGAAUAAAUUGUUCUUUAAAUAUACAACAAACAUUGUUAAACUUCACACGCUUCACACUUUUUAAUCGUAAAUCACCUACCACCUUUUCUCUCGUGCCACGGAUCAACGACGGGCAAAUCGUAUGUUCGUAGAAAUCGGUAAGACGUGUCGUCGACAUCCACCGAAAAGUUAGUGCCAACUGGCGAAGGCAUGCCAAUAUAACACAGAAAACUUACCGGAUAAAUUAACAGGAAUAAAAUAUUAAUAUUUUCGUAGCUUCUUAUUUUUGACAUAGAAUUUCGAUACGUUAAAGAAAUGUAUAUAAAAUUAAACUAUUAUGAAAACGAUUUAUAAGUAGCGUUAAUACUAUAUAUAAUUUGUAUUUUAUAAUAUAUUGAUGUCAACAUAACGUCAAAUGUAUCGCUCUCUUGCGACAUUUAGUAAUAUAAUAUUACAUUAAUCGUGGCAAAUUGUGUUUAAUUGUCCUUAUUAAAAAAAAUAGUAAAUAUUUAAAAUCUUUUGAAUUUAUAUAAAUGCAUAAGAAUCGAGAUGUUUUUUUUUUAAUAGAAGGUAUUUGUAUAUAAAAUGCAUAGUAUGACAUUGAAAACAUUUUAUUCAGUCUGUAAGAAGCAUUCUACAUGAUGAUCGUAAUAAUACGAACAGUAAUAAAAAAGAAAAAUAAUAAUAAUGAAAACGAUGAUAACGAUGAUGUUGAUGUUGAUAAAAAUGUAAUAAUAAUUAUAAUAAUGAUACUGAUGCCAAUGAAAAUGGCGAUGACUUAUGAGUUGAUUUGACUUUAUCGCGCGAUGAUGGCGAUGACGGGAUGACAAUGACGAUGAUGACAAUUUGAUGACGAUGACGAUGACGACAACGACGACGACGUUGAUGACGAUGACGAUGACGAUGCUGAUGACGAUGACGAUGACGAUGAUAAAUUACUAUUAUUAUCAAACGAUAAUAAUAGUAAUAAUAUUAUUAUUAUUAGUAGAAGUAGUAAUAGUAGUAAUAGUAGUUGCAGUAAUAGUAGUAAUGAUAGUAUUAAUCCAUAAUAAUUCAUUCAUAAUAACCAUUUGUAAUAUACAGGUAAACUCUCUUACAUGUUGAAUUUUCAUAAUACAUAAAUUAUAGAAAAUUUACCAAUAAAUGAAACAUUAUAUUUUCUCAGACUA